This 418-nucleotide ribosomal RNA is filed under the name uncultured bacterium. RNAcentral's name for it is "bacterial SSU rRNA". It matches the Rfam family "Bacterial small subunit ribosomal RNA", at positions 356 to 773 of the family's 1533-position model. The record is from RNAcentral.
GGGGAAUCUUGCGCAAUGGGCGAAAGCCUGACGCAGCGACGCCGCGUGGGGGAGGAAGGGCUUCGGCUUGUAAACCCCUGUUGCCCGGGACGAAUCCCUGGUUUCGACCAGGUUGACGGUACCGGGUGAGGAAGCACCGGCUAACCCCGUGCCAGCAGCCGCGGUAAUACGGAGGGUGCGAGCGUUGUCCGGAAUCAUUGGGCGUAAAGGGCGCGUAGGUGGCCCGGUCAGUCUUUGGUGAAAGCGCGGGGCUCAACCCUGCGUCGGCCAGGGAUACUGCCGCGGCUGGAGCACUGUAGAGGCAGGCGGAAUUCCGGGUGUAGCGGUGGAAUGCGUAGAGAUCCGGAAGAACACCGGUGGCGAAGGCGGCCUGCUGGGCAGUUGCUGACACUGAGGCGCGACAGCGUGGGGAGCAAAC